UCACUAUAGCAGCAGCAGAUUCUGUAAGAAUUAACAAGAAGAAGAAGAAGAAGAAGAAUGAUGAAUUUAUACGAAGAAAACGAGAGGUCAGUGAUGGGGGUACCUCUGGGAUUAAUUCUUCUGGUGGUGACUCUGUUAGCCAUGUGUGGAGUCUUCAUCUGCUGCCUUUACUGGGAUCGGAUUCCUCUCCAUGCUCCACCUACCCACCACAACAACAAACCAUCCCCUCAUCACCUGGUUCGUAUAUAAUAUACGUUUCUCCUUCUAUAUAUGUUCUGGGUUUUGUUUCUUUUAGCCUUAUGUGUCGAUUUCC
Molecule: long non-coding RNA, 313 nt
Filed under: Linum usitatissimum (flax)
Lineage: Eukaryota; Viridiplantae; Streptophyta; Magnoliopsida; Malpighiales; Linaceae
Description: long non-coding RNA (LUSI_LNC005317)
Source: RNAcentral